ACUGCGCUGUGCAGCAGGCGGCCUUUUCCUGCUCUGCACGCGGCGCGGGGCAGAGCACCCAGGCGCUGUGCUGCCGGCUCUUGGCGUUGGUUUACUGUGCGAACCGUGCAGCCCCGGUACGCUCACGCCCAUCAGCUCCCGACUUUCGUUCUGGGAGGCGCUGACCGGGUGCCGAGAGGGCGCUGUGUGGAGUGCGACUCCCCCCCUCCCCAAAGCAGCAUUCGUGCUAAAGGUACUGAUUAAGAUGUAUGUGAUUUGGAGGAAUUCUGUUUCCUGUCUAAGGAUAAGAAAGGUGCUACGUAGAUUCCAAAGUGGUAAUCACCCAGUUGUUCCUCUGGGAUCAAGGAUUUUAACGGACCCAGCCAAAGUUUUUGAACACAACAUGUGGGAUCACAUGCAAUGGUCUGAAGAAGAAGCAGCAGCAGCCAGAAAAAAAGUAGAGGAAAACUCGGCUGUGCGAGUCCUUCUAGAAGAACAAGUUAAGUAUGAGAAUGAAGCUAGUAAAUAUUGGAACACAUUUUAUAAGAUUCAUAAGAAUAAGUUUUUCAAGGAUCGUAAUUGGCUCUUGAGGGAAUUUCCUGAAAUUAUUCCAGUUGAUCAAAAAACUGAACAGAAGUUGCAAGAAUUAUCAUGGGAUCCUGCAAAAACUAGUGCUGCCGAUGGUUUCUCAAGAACACGCUGCCCUCCUGUGCCUGAAGAAAAAAAUCAUAAUCAGAAAAGGUGUGGCUCAUCAGACAGGCAAAGCCAAGCAGGAUCACAGUUUUCCAGCCUAGACUCUGAAGAACACAGAAAAGGACCUCUGAAAACAGAAUUGUUUCCCGGGAGCAACGCCACUUUCAGAAUCCUAGAGGUUGGCUGUGGUGCUGGAAAUAGUGUUUUUCCAAUUUUGAAUACUUUACGGAAUGCUCCAGAGUCCUUUCUUUAUUGUUGUGAUUUUGCUUCCGGAGCUGUGGAGCUAGUAAAGUUGCACUCAUCCUACAGAGCAGCCCAGUGUUGUGCCUUUGUCCAUGACGUCUGUGAUGAGGGCUUACCCUACCCUUUUCCAGAUGGGAUCCUGGAUGUCAUUCUCCUUGUCUUUGUGCUCUCUUCCAUUCAUCCUGACAGGAUGCAAGGCGUUGUAAACCGACUGUCCAAUUUACUGAAACCUGGAGGAAUGCUGUUAUUUCGGGACUAUGGAAGAUAUGAUAAGACUCAGCUUCGUUUUAAAAGGGGGCAUUGCUUAUCUGAAAAUUUUUACGUUCGAGGAGAUGGUACCAGAGCAUAUUUCUUUACAAAAGGGGAAGUCCACAAUAUGUUCUGCAAGGCUGGGUUAGACGAGAAGCAAAAUCUGGUUGAUCGUCGCUUACAAGUGAAUAGGAAAAAACAAGUGAAAAUGCACCGAGUGUGGGUUCAAGGCAAAUUCCAGAAACCAUUACACUUGACUCAAAAAACCUCCAAAUUGAUAUUUUCACUCCUUUCUCAUGGCUGAAUUAUGUACCAUGUUAAGGUACAAACCAGAGGAUUACACUGUACAAAGACUUCCGUAGAUCUUUCAUUUUUGAAAGGACAGUCAGAAGAAAAGAGAAUUUGUAUAUCCUGCUGUUUAUCAUGGGGUGAUUUGUCUUCUACCUGAGGCUGUCCUACUCAACAGAAUGUUUGGCGUAAAGAAUCUGAUAGCUCUCCGUAUAUCUUUAGUUAUGCCCCAGUCCCUCAGAGCCCUUGUGUUUUCCAUCAUGAUGUGUCAAAACGUGUGUAUUUAUUGAUCUUCAAAAACCUGGAAAGAUGAGACACAACUUUAGGAGAAACAUACCCAGAGAAGUACAGGCAGAAAGGGGCAUUGAGCCAGAAGAUUGCCCUCCUUCACCAGUGUGGCAGAGGAAGGUCUGGCUUCUACUUUGCAGAAGGUACAGAUUAGGUAUCAAUAUAGUGUGGUCACCAAGUGAGUGAUUCAUGAUCUGUGAUCCUCUGCAAGAAGAUUAAUGGAAGGCAAAUGAAGAAUACAGGCUAGCAUAGCCUAUGAGACAAGGCUUCAAUGUACAGUCUCUGCCAUUUGGUGAGGUUUGAGAGAGGACCCCAGAGUAAUACCUCUGUGUUCCUGCCCAAACUGUAAACCAGCUGAGAGAAGCUGAUACUGGAGAAAAUGGCUCAGGGGACAUGGGAACAAUUGCCUUCCUACUACUGAGUCCAAGAAUCAAGACCCACAGCUGAACAGCCACAGGACUCUGCUCACGGGGGUCGGCCUCUGCAUAGCCUUGUACAGAGUCACCAGUUUCCAAGAGAAAGUGAAGGAGGACUGGGUUAAAUGUGCCUGAUUCAUUUCCCAAAUUCACUUUCUAUGAGGCACUUCUCCUAGGAAUGAGGAGAGCAGGAUUAAAGAGACCAGGUGGGUCCCUCCACAUGACAAGAAACAACAGGAGUGGGCAAUUACCUAAACCAUUUAUGAGUGCUCAGUCAACCCAUGCCACGUUUACUGGGGCUAGAGCAAUGUGGAGUGGACUCUCCUAUGCUCUUUGUGACUUGCUGAGUAGUCUGCUUAGAGAGAGAGGCCAGCCAGCAGUUUUUCAGCAUUUACCUAGAAGCCUGGGGUCCAUAGGCAUCUGCCUCAGCGAUGGAUGGAAUCUUCAGGGUAUGCACUGACACAUGUAGAUGGUUGGAAUCCUGGGGACUAAAGUCAAAGUGAGUUUCCAAAGGUAUUUCCAGUGACUUAUUCUGGGAACCUUACCAUACUUAAAUCUUUACUAGACUGCUCAAUAAACGGCCGGGAGGCCUAGCAACUCUGUCAAGCACCAUCUCUACAUUCACUUGCAUAACGAAUAACUGGCUCUAGACCAACACUUCUCAAACUACCUGAGGUAAAGAUCCAGUUGUUGCUUUUUGUUUUGUUUUGCACAUUUGCAACCUGUCAUAGACCAAUGCUUUACAAAGAUGAAUUACUAGAAAAAAAGAUGUCCUCCAGUUGCUCUCAUUGUGUUUCCUGCUGUCUGCCCUCUCUCCAGCAAUCUCACCUGAUGAUCUCCCCGGCAGCCAGUGCAUACCAGCUACAUGUUAGGCCCUGCUCUAGGGUUUGGAAAUGAAGGGAUGAGCAGGAAAAAAUAAAGAUGGGCAAUAUACAAGCCCAAGGUUUUUAUUAGAUUCAACAGAUCUUAAUUUAUUUGGUUACUCCACUUACCUUGUCAUGGGCUGGGAAUGAAACAGACCAGCACCUGCCCACAGCCCACACUUGAGCUGCCUGACUCUAG
Zalophus californianus (California sea lion) is the source of this 3218-nucleotide RNA transcript. It is a transcript of the gene named methyltransferase like 8, with no coding region annotated. The transcript is spliced from 12 exons. NCBI's taxonomy places the organism in Eukaryota, Metazoa, Chordata, Mammalia, Carnivora, Otariidae. The record is from RefSeq and is a predicted model, not a curated record.